Molecule: ribosomal RNA, 274 nt
Filed under: uncultured bacterium
Lineage: Bacteria
Description: partial 16S ribosomal RNA
Rfam family: Bacterial small subunit ribosomal RNA
Source: RNAcentral
AUACGGAGGGUGCAAGCGUUACUCGGAAUCACUGGGCGUAAAGCGCGCGCAGGCGGCUAUUUAAGUUGGAUGUGAAAGCCUACGGCUCAACCGUAGAACUGCAUCCAAAACUAUUUAGCUAGAGUGUGGGAGAGGAAGAUGGAAUUAGUUGUGUAGGGGUAAAAUCCGUAGAGAUAACUAGGAAUACCAAAAGCGAAGGCAAUCUUCUGGAACACUACUGACGCUGCGGCGCGAAAGCGUGGGGAGCAAACGGGAUUAGAAACCCCUGUAGUCC